RNAcentral lists this ribosomal RNA (468 nucleotides) under uncultured bacterium. RNAcentral's name for it is "partial 16S ribosomal RNA". It matches the Rfam family "Bacterial small subunit ribosomal RNA", at positions 28 to 507 of the family's 1533-position model. The record is from RNAcentral.
GACGAACGCUGGCGGCGUGCUUAACACAUGCAAGUCGAACGGAAAGGCCCUGCUUUUGUGGGGUGCUCGAGUGGCGAACGGGUGAGUAACACGUGAGUAACCUGCCCUUGACUUUGGGAUAACUUCAGGAAACUGGGGCUAAUACCGGAUAGGAGCUCCUGCUGCAGGGUGGGGGUUGGAAAGUUUCGGCGGUUGGGGAUGGACUCGCGGCUUAUCAGCUUGUUGGUGGGGUAGUGGCUUACCAAGGUUUUGACGGGAGGCCGGCCUGGGGGGGUGCCCGGCCACAUUGGGACUGCGAUACGGCCCAGAAUCCUUCGGGAGGCAGCAGUGGGGAAUAUUGCACAAUGGGCGGAAGCCUGAUGCAGCAACGCCGCGUGCGGGAUGACGGCCUUCGGGUUGUAAACCGCUUUCGCCUGUGACGAAGCGUGAGUGACGGUAAUGGGUAAAGAAGCACCGGCUAACUACGUG